UACGUAGGGUGCAAGCGUUGUCCGGAAUUAUUGGGCGUAAAGAGCUUGUAGGCGGUCUGUCGCGUCUGCUGUGAAAAUCCGGGGCUCAACCCCGGACUUGCAGUGGGUACGGGCAGACUAGAGUGUGGUAGGGGAGACUGGAAUUCCUGGUGUAGCGGUGAAAUGCGCAGAUAUCAGGAGGAACACCGGUGGCGAAGGCGGGUCUCUGGGCCGAUACUGACGCUGAGGAGCGAAAGCGUGGGGAGCGAACAGG
Molecule: ribosomal RNA, 253 nt
Filed under: uncultured bacterium
Lineage: Bacteria
Description: partial 16S ribosomal RNA
Rfam family: Bacterial small subunit ribosomal RNA
Source: RNAcentral